GUCUCAGUAGUGCAGUGGAUCAGUAUGUCUGGCUAUUAACUAAAAGGUUGGUGGUUUGAGCCCACCCAGGGACU
This is a non-coding RNA of Podarcis lilfordi (Lilford's wall lizard), 74 nucleotides long. The record is from the annotation of a GenBank genome assembly. Lineage: Eukaryota; Metazoa; Chordata; Lepidosauria; Squamata; Lacertidae.